RNAcentral lists this ribosomal RNA (440 nucleotides) under uncultured bacterium. RNAcentral's name for it is "partial 16S ribosomal RNA". It matches the Rfam family "Bacterial small subunit ribosomal RNA", at positions 338 to 795 of the family's 1533-position model. The record is from RNAcentral.
CCUACGGGAGGCAGCAGUGGGGGAUAUUGCACAAUGGGGGGAACCCUGAUGCAGCGACGCCGCGUGGGUGAAGGAGUGCUUCGGCAUGUAAAGCCCUAUCGGCAGGGAAGAAGCAAGACGGUACCUGACUAAGAAGCCCCGGCUACUACGUGCCAGCAGCCGCGGUAAUACGUAGGGGGCGAGCGUGAUCCGGAUUCACUGGGUGUAAAGGGAGUGUAGACGGUCAUGCAAGCCAGGGGUGAAAGCCCGGGGCCUAACCCCGGGACUGCCCUUGCAACUACAUGGCUGGAGUGCGGGAGGGGCAGGCGGAAUUCCUGGUGUAGCGGUGAAAUGCAUAGAUAUCACGCAGAACCCCGAUUGCGAAGGCAGCAUACCGGUGCACAACUGACGCUGAGGCACGAAAGCGUGGGUAGCGAACAGGAUUAGAUACCCUUGUAGUC